This 496-nucleotide ribosomal RNA is filed under the name uncultured bacterium. RNAcentral's name for it is "partial 16S ribosomal RNA". It matches the Rfam family "Bacterial small subunit ribosomal RNA", at positions 29 to 507 of the family's 1533-position model. The record is from RNAcentral.
AUGAACGCUGGCGGCGUGUCUAAUACAUGCAGGUCGAGCGCACAGACGAGGAGCUUGCUCCUCUGACGUUAGCGGCGGACGGGUGAGUAACACGUGGAUAACCUACCUAUAAGACUGGGAUAACUUCGGGAAACCGGAGCUAAUACCGGAUAAUAUAUUGAACCGCAUGGUUCAAUAGUGAAAGACGGUUUUGCUGUCACUUAUAGAUGGAUCCGCGCCGCAUUAGCUAGUUGGUAAGGUAACGGCUUACCAAGGCAACGAUGCGUAGCCGACCUGAGAGGGUGAUCGGCCACACUGGAACUGAGACACGGUCCAGACUCCUACGGGAGGCAGCAGUAGGGAAUCUUCCGCAAUGGGCGAAAGCCUGACGGAGCAACGCCGCGUGAGUGAUGAAGGUCUUCGGAUCGUAAAACUCUGUUAUUAGGGAAGAACAAAUGUGUAAGUAACUAUGCACGUCUUGACGGUACCUAAUCAGAAAGCCACGGCUAACUACGUG